Molecule: long non-coding RNA, 318 nt
Organism: Ipomoea nil (Japanese morning glory)
Lineage: Eukaryota; Viridiplantae; Streptophyta; Magnoliopsida; Solanales; Convolvulaceae
Exons: 2
Source: RefSeq, a predicted model, not a curated record
UUUCUUCUUCCUCAUGCUUAAAUGAUUCCAAGGUACAAAUACAAAAAAAUUACCUCCAUGUCAUGAAAGAAGCAUUCUUGGCUCUUGAUUGCAUCAAAGUUUCAGCCUUCAGGUACUAAAUAGUUGUUUUCCUAAAACGUACAGUGGAGCCAUUUGAGUAGCGCCUACUGCAAAAAACUAUGGUAUACAUUAUAUUUCUAGGAUUCUAUUUGUUUUCAAAAGAAAGUUGAAAGAGGAUACAAAGGUUCACCUUAUUCUUGUAGCAACUGUCUUCUUCCUCGUGAAUGAUUCCCCAACAGGCCGAAUGCAAAAAAAAAA